This 443-nucleotide ribosomal RNA is filed under the name uncultured bacterium. Its description in RNAcentral is "partial 16S ribosomal RNA". It matches the Rfam family "Bacterial small subunit ribosomal RNA", at positions 338 to 795 of the family's 1533-position model. The record is from RNAcentral.
CCUACGGGAGGCAGCAGUGGGGAAUAUUGGGCAAUGGGCGCAAGCCUGACCCAGCAACGCCGCGUGAAGGCCGCCUGCCUUCUUGUUGUCCCCUUCUUUCCUCCGGGCCGCAGCAAGUGACGGUACCUGAGGAAUAAGCCACGGCUAACUACGUGCCAGCCGCCGCGGUACUACGUAGGUGGCAAGCGUUAUCCGGAUUUACUGGGUGUAAAGGGCGUGUAGGCGGGAAAGCAAGUCAGAUGUGAAACCCAUGGGCUCAACCUGUGACCUGCAUUUGAAACUGUUUUUCUUGAGUACUGGAGAGGCAGACGGAAUUCCUAGUGUAGCGGUGAAAUGCGUAGAUAUUAGGAGGAACACCAGUGGCGAAGGCGGUCUGCUGGACAGCAACUGACGCUGAGGCGCGAAAGCGUGGGGAGCAAACAGGAUUAGAUACCCUUGUAGUC